UAUAGCAGUUGUCCUGAAAACAUAAAAUGUGCAUUUUAAUGCUAAUUGAAUUACUUUAAAUGUGGUAGGUCUACAUGACUGUAGACAAAGGAAGGCCAGACAAGAUAUGAGAUGCAAGAGUAACUCCAAAUGCCUCUUUCUCCCUUUUCUCUUUGUAAUCUUUCUAGGCCCGGCCUUAGGGUAAGACCGGACGAUGUCCAGGCAGAAUUCGAGGGCAUCUUCCUCAGGCCAGACAGCUUCGUCAGGCCCGGCAACUCGUCCAGUGGCACCUGGAGAAGCGCUGACCUCGUCACCUGAAGCCUUGGGAGGAGGACGGUCUGUGGAAUGGGAUCCGGUGAAGUCAUUUCCCUCAAACGCGGAGGGUUUAAAAGGCCAGAUCCCUGAACUUGAGAACCCGGAGGUGAUGUUCUUCACUGUUGCAGCCUCUGGUGGGACGGGUGAUUGUCCAGCAGGCGGAGCAGCUUCGACUCCUCGGACACGGGUGUGACUCCGCUGAGGUCACUGACCUGACCUGCUUCUGCCCCAUCUGGGCGCACCUGGACAGUGGUGACCCCUGUAAAUAGUUGUGUGAGCAUAGUUGUGUAUAUAUAUAGUGAUGUGUAUAUAGUUGUUUUGAUAUGUAUAUAGUUGUUAGCAUCGUUUCUACUAGUUAAGUGUAUAUCGUUUUUUUCAUAUUUAUAUGGUUGUGAGCAUAGUUUAUUUUUAUAAAUGUAUUGAUGUGUUUUAUAUUAAUAAAGUUCAUAUUAAAUACCGGUUUCAUUAAUGUUCCAAAUAUCCUUGGCCUGGAACUGGUGCCUGUCCAGCACCGUCUUUCAAUUUUGGUAGAACAAGUUGACAUUGUUUUGAUUGAAGCUGGACAACCGUUGUUGGCUAGUGGCCUCUGGACGCCGAAGGGGGAAGCUGCUACUGCGCUCCAUGAAGGAGGUGAUCCAGUCCUUCCUCGACCAGGAUGCAGGGAAUGGGCAGCUGAAAUGCACGGGGUCGUAAACAGUUGAUGUACAUUUGUGUGUUUAUGUUUAUGUUAUUUGUUCAUAUUUAUUAAUUAAACUAUGUGCAUAGCAUACAUGUGUGCCUGUCCAAAAAUGUAUGUAGCCCUUUUCACAACACUGACCUCAUUAG
Gadus macrocephalus (Pacific cod) is the source of this 1119-nucleotide long non-coding RNA. RefSeq lists it as uncharacterized. The record is from RefSeq and is a predicted model, not a curated record. Lineage: Eukaryota; Metazoa; Chordata; Actinopteri; Gadiformes; Gadidae. The transcript has 3 exons.